UCUUCUCCAUUCUCUAAGGGCAAAUCCCUCCUCAGUCCCCAUCUCCGAUAGAGGCGGCAAAAUCGGACCGUCCAAUCCCCCAAACCCCCCUUUUUUUUUUUUUAUCAGGCCACCAAACUCUCUAUUGAACCCCUUCCCAUUCUCCUCCGGCUCGAACUCUCCGCUGGGUCCGUUGAAGGGCUGAUGCGAAUCGAAAACUUCAUCUCCGCCAGAGAAAGAGUCGAAUUGCUGUGAGUUGUAGUCGACCUAGCCACCGUUGUCUUCGUCUAAGGGGCGAGUUGACUCAGACCGAGGGACUGAGUCGUCGAACGAAUCGCCAAGAGUAUCCAUUGUUUCUGUGCCUUUUUUGUACGGACAAUCAUAAAAGCGAUGUGUUU
RNAcentral lists this unclassified non-coding RNA (377 nucleotides) under Hevea brasiliensis (rubber tree). The record is from RNAcentral. Lineage: Eukaryota; Viridiplantae; Streptophyta; Magnoliopsida; Malpighiales; Euphorbiaceae.